GUCUAUGGUCAUGCCACCCUGAAUGUGCCUGAUCUCGUCUGAUCUCAGAAGCUAAGCAGGGUUGGACCUGGUUAGUACUUGGAUGGGAGACCACCUAGGACGACCAGGUGCUAUAGGCA
RNAcentral lists this ribosomal RNA (119 nucleotides) under Pteropus alecto (black flying fox). Lineage: Eukaryota; Metazoa; Chordata; Mammalia; Chiroptera; Pteropodidae. The record is from RNAcentral.